This 1761-nucleotide long non-coding RNA is filed under the name Salmo salar (Atlantic salmon). RNAcentral describes it as "lncRNA (ENSSSAG00000120891.1)". The record is from RNAcentral. Lineage: Eukaryota; Metazoa; Chordata; Actinopteri; Salmoniformes; Salmonidae.
CUGGCAGGUGCUGCAGCUAAAGUGGUCGUAGUAGGGGCUGCAGUUGUAGUUGUAGCAGGUGCUGCAGAUGUAGUUGUCGUAGUAGGUGCUGCAAUUGUAGUGGUCGUAGGAGCUACAGUUGUCGAAGGAGCUUCAGUUGUUCUUGCAGGUGCUGCAGUUGAAGUGGUCGUAGUAGGUGCUGCAGUUGUAGUUGUUGUAGUAUGUGCUGCAGUCGUAGUGGUUGUAAGAGCUACAGUUGUUGUAGUAGGAGCUGAAGUGAUUGUCGAAGUAGCUGCUGACGUUGUCGUGGUUGGGGAUAUAUUUGUUGUCGUAGAAGCUACAGUUGUUGUUGUAGGUGCUGCUGUUGUGGUUGUCGUAGGAGCUUCAGUUGUCGUUGUAGGUGCUUCCGUUGUGGUCGUAGGAUCUAAAAUUGUUGUAGUAGGAACUGCAGUUGUGGUUGUCGUAGAAACUGCAUUUGUAGUUGUCGUAGCAGCUGCAUUAGUUGUUGUCGUAGUAGGUGCUUCAGUUGUAGAAGUCGCAGGAGCUACAGAUGUUGUCGAAGGAGCUACAGUUGUUCUUGCAUGUGCUGCAGUUGCAGUGGUUGUAGUAGGUGAUGCAUUUGUAGUUGUCGUAGCAGGUGCUGCAAGUGUAGUUGUCGUAGCAGGUGCUGCAGGUGUAGUUGUCGUAGUAGGUGCUGCUGGUGUAGUGGUUGUAGGAGCUGCAGUGGUUGUUGAAGUAGGUGUUGCAGUUGUAGUGGUCAUAGGAGCUACAGUUGUUGUUGUAGGAGCUUCAAUUGUAGUUGUAGCAGGUGCUGCAGUGGUUGUCGAAGUAGGUGCUGCAGGUGUAGGAGCUACGGUUGUCGUUGUUGGUGCUGCAGUUGUGGUUGUUGUAGGAGCUGCAUUUGUAGUUGUCGUCGUAGGUGCUGCAGUUGUAGGUGUUGUAGUUGUCGUAGUAGGUUCUUUUGUUGUGGUUGUCGUUGGAGCUUCAGUUGUAAUGGUCGUAAUAGGUGCUGCACUUGUAGUUGUCGUAGUAGGUUCUUUAGUUGUGGUUGACGUAGGAGCUUCAGAUGUAAUUGUCGUAAUAGGUGCUGCACUUGUGGUUAUCGGAGUAGCUUCAGUUGCAGUUGUAUGUGCUGUAGUCGUAGUGGUUGUAAGAGCUACAGUUGUUGUAGUAGGAGCUGAAGUGAUUGUCGAAGUAGCUGCUGACGUUGUAGUGGUUGGGGAUAUAUUUGUUGUCGUAGAAGCUACAGUUGUUGUUGUAGGUGCUGCUGUUGUGGUUGUCGUAGGAGCUUCAGUUGUCGUUGUAGGUGCUUCUGUUGUAGUGGUCGUAUGAUCUAAAGGUGUUGUAAUAGGAUCUGCAGUUGUGGUUGUCAUAGGAGCUGUAUUUGUAGUAGUCAUAGGAGCUACAGUUGUUGUUGAAAUAGCUACAGUUGUUGAAGCUGCAGUGGUUGUCGAAAUAGGUGCUGCAGUUGUAGUGGUCGUAAGAGCUACAGUUGUAGUGGUAAUAGGAUAUAUAGUUGUUGUAGAAGCUACAGUUGUUGUUAUAGGUGCUGCUGUUGUAAUCGUCGUAGUAGGUGUUGUGGUUGUCCAUGGAGCUUCAGUUGUCAUUGUAGGUGCUUCUGUUGUGGUCAUAGGAUAUACAGUUGUUGUAAUAGGAGUUGCAGUUGUCGUCGUAGGAGCUGCAUUUGUAGUUGUCGUAGUAGGUGCUUCAGUUAUAGAAGAAGUAGGAGCUUCAGUUGUUGUAGUAGUAGCUGCAGUGGUUGUCGAAGUAGGUGCUGAAGUU